GACGAACGCUGGCGGCGUGCCUAAUACAUGCAAGUAGAACGCAGUUGCGAACGGGUGAGUAACGCGUAGGUAACUGCCUCAUAGCGGGGGAUAACUAUUGGAAACGAUAGCUAAUACCGCAUCCUGUGAGAUGGACCUGCGUUGUAUUAGCUAGUUGGUGAGGUAAAGGCUCACCAAGGCGACGAUACAUAGCCGGGCUGGGAGGGUGGUCGGCCACACCGGGACUGGAGCACGGGCCAGACUCCCACGGGAGGCAGGCGUAGGGGAUCUUUGGAAAUGGACGGAAGUCUGACCGAGCAACGCCGGGUGGGGUAAGAAGGUUUUCGGAUUGUAAAGCUCUGUUGUUAGAGAAGCGGUAACUAAACAGAAAGGGACGGCUAACUACGUGCCAGCAGCCGCGGUAAUAC
This 407-nucleotide ribosomal RNA is filed under the name uncultured bacterium. Its description in RNAcentral is "partial 16S ribosomal RNA". It matches the Rfam family "Bacterial small subunit ribosomal RNA", at positions 28 to 526 of the family's 1533-position model. The record is from RNAcentral.